AACGGCAGCACGGGAGCAUCCUGGUGGCGAGUGGCGAACGGGUGAGUAAUAUAUCGGAACGUGCCCAGUCGUGGGGGAUAACGCAGCGAAAGCUGUGCUAAUACCGCAUACGAUCUAUGGAUGAAAGCGGGGGAUCGCAAGACCUCGCGCGAUUGGAGCGGCCGAUAUCAGAUUAGGUAGUUGGUGGGGUAAAAGCUCACCAAGCCGACGAUCUGUAGCUGGUCUGAGAGGACGACCAGCCACACUGGAACUGAGACACGGUCCAGACUCCUACGGGAGGCAGCAGUGGGGAAUUUUGGACAAUGGGCGCAAGCCUGAUCCAGCAAUGCCGCGUGCAGGAUGAAGGCCUUCGGGUUGUAAACUGCUUUUGUACGGAACGAAACGGUCCUUUCUAAUACAAGGGGCUAAUGACGGUACCGUAAGAAUAAGCACCGGCUAAC
Molecule: ribosomal RNA, 440 nt
Filed under: uncultured bacterium
Lineage: Bacteria
Description: bacterial SSU rRNA
Rfam family: Bacterial small subunit ribosomal RNA
Source: RNAcentral